RNAcentral lists this ribosomal RNA (424 nucleotides) under uncultured bacterium. RNAcentral's name for it is "bacterial SSU rRNA". It matches the Rfam family "Bacterial small subunit ribosomal RNA", at positions 355 to 776 of the family's 1533-position model. The record is from RNAcentral.
UGAGGAAUAUUGGUCAAUGGGCGAGAGCCUGAACCAGCCAAGUCGCGUGAAGGAAGAAGGUUCUAUGGAUUGUAAACUUCUUUUGCAGGGGAAUAAAGGACGGUACGUGUACUGUUUUGUAUGUACCUUGCGAAUAAGGAUCGGCUAACUCCGUGCCAGCAGCCGCGGUAAUACGGAGGAUCCGAGCGUUAUCCGGAUUUAUUGGGUUUAAAGGGUGCGUAGGUGGAUUGUUAAGUCAGUGGUGAAAGUUUUCAGCUCAACUGAAAAAUUGCCGUUGAAACUGUCGAUCUUGAGUGCAAAUGAGGUAGGCGGAAUGUGUUGUGUAGCGGUGAAAUGCUUAGAUAUAACACAGAACUCCGAUUGCGAAGGCAGCUUACUGGGAUGCAACUGACACUGAUGCACGAAAGCGUGGGUAUCAAACAGG